UGACUACUGUAGGGCAAAUGGAAGAAUCACAGUGUGGAGCAAAUCUGAGGUCAAAGCUGUCAGAGACUUGAAGAGGAGGUAAAGGAGGGGAGCUCAGUAAAUAUGUUGACAGUCCAGAAGAAAAUGUGUAGAUAAUAUCCAUUUGAGAUUGAGGCCUUGCCUUGACAAACCACUUCUUGUCUUGAAGACACACUCUUCAACCCAGCUUCUCACAGAAACCAAAAUCUCAGCUGAUGGCAGAAGGCUGGAACCAGAGUGAGAAGGUUGGUUGCAACAAAGGGUAAAAUGCUUCCUUAGGGGAUAACCCAAGGCAGCUAAAAUACCCAGACCCAUUGCUAUGGUAAUCUACCCGCAUAAUAAUUACAGGUUAUUUGCAUAUCUGGAUUCCCUUUCAUAGCCAGGGGAUGGUGUGAAGUCAGUGCUAAAGCAGCAGCACGUGGCUGUCAUGUGUCAUCUCUGCCCCAAGUGGUUCUGAAAUUGGUUUAAAGCUUGAGGAGCCUUCAUUCUUUUUGGGAUAGAGGAUAAGAAUCCUAACAGAACUCAUCCCCAGCCAUCACUAGUCAGAGAGCGAGCCUUCUGGCAGAGUAGGGUAGUGAAAGGCAUGGGCUCCAGCAGCAGUAACCUGAGUCAUGUCCGAGGUGACAGAGAAGAAAAUAAACCAGAAGGCCAGAAUCUGGGAGGACUGAGAACCGGCAUGGAGAAUAUAAUGGUGAGCAAAACUGACCAAGGCCCUACUCUCAUGGGAUUUAUAUAGUCUCAUGGAAUACAUGGAUACCAAUCAAAUAAUCACACAGCUGGUAGAAAUUAGAAGAACUGAAGGUUGUAAGAUUAUCCUGUGUAGUUAUUUCUGUGAGGAAGUCCAGGCUUUGCAACCUCUUUAAAGUCUUCUGAUUGUCCACCAGGAAAUGACCUCUGACCUGAGAUCUAAAAGAUGUUUGGCUCUACCAAAUGGAUGGAUUUUAUCAGUUGACACUACAGAGAUCAAACAAGUUCAGGUGGCUGGAGCCUAUGUCAGCACCUCAGAGCACAGAGAUGGAAACCAGCCCUGGACAGGACACCAUCCCAUCGCAGAGUGUAUUCACACACACUCCAAUACUCAUUCACAUGGGGACCAUUUAGAUGCACCCGUUCACCUGAUGUGCACAUCUUGGGAUGUAGGAGGAAACAGAAGUAGGAGUACCCAGAGAAAACCCAUGCAGACAUGGGGAGAACACGCAAACGCCACACAGACAGGGGCCCUGGCGCAGAGUCCAUUUUGUUUCUCAUCAACGGUGUAACAAUGUUGAACGAAACGACAUUCUCCGGGGACCUGCUGCAUUUUAAAACAAAUUCAUGAAUAGUUUGCAUUUGGAUGGAGCAGUUAAUAGAGGAGACCAUUUUCCCCCAAAGCCUUCUUUGAUAUUUUGCUCCUCAGUAGGAAGUAACGGCCACCCUUGAGACUCCCCAGCAUUUUCUCCCUAUUUUUCUUCUAGCACCUACUAUUUCCUGCCUGGAAUUAUAGGUCUUUUUGUAUAUCUCUCUUUCCUAUUGAACCCUAAGCUCCUUGAAGGCAGGCUCCAUGACUAACUCAUACAGCAUUCAAUAAAUGUUUAUUGAAUGAAGGAAGAAAUGUAUAAAGAUGGGUUACAAUGAUUGAAAUCCAAAUUUAGAUCAAGACAGAUCCAUACC
Molecule: non-coding RNA, 1668 nt
Organism: Macaca mulatta (Rhesus monkey)
Lineage: Eukaryota; Metazoa; Chordata; Mammalia; Primates; Cercopithecidae
Source: RefSeq, a predicted model, not a curated record